This is a long non-coding RNA of Populus nigra (black poplar), 1143 nucleotides long. RefSeq lists it as uncharacterized. The transcript is spliced from 2 exons. Lineage: Eukaryota; Viridiplantae; Streptophyta; Magnoliopsida; Malpighiales; Salicaceae. The record is from RefSeq and is a predicted model, not a curated record.
AAAGGGUGGAAAAGCCCACCUGCUACAAGUCUGUCUUCAGCAACAUUUACUCAACGUGUAAGUGGAGGGUUGGGGUGUCACGCAUUUGCCUUGCUACAAGGCAUCCAUUCGGUGAUUAAGCGACAUGUCUCCUCUUGGUUUUACCCUAAUUAGCUCAAAUCAAAAUGCUUGAAGUGUUGUCAGCUGUUACCUUUCUUCACAAAGAAUCAAGAAAGAUGCCACAAAAUACUUGUUUCUUAUGUCUCAAUUUGCACAUCACACGGCUAGUUGCUUUGCUUCUUUGCACAUAAUCACAGGCCAUAAUAGAACAAUGAGUCACUGACGGAAAAAUAAGCUUUUGAUUUGUUGUAAAUGCUUGGAACAAGAGUUAAGAUGCCUGGUCGUCUGGAGGAAACUUAUGCACAUAGGCUCAGAUAAGAUAGAGAACAGAGGCAUAAACAGUGGAAAUGCAACUUUGGCAGCAAGACAAUGAAGGUAAAUGCAGGCUACUAGUACAUGCACGUGAGAUCAAAGAGGUAACUACUAGAGUGUCUGCCAUUGUGGCGCACCUCCAGCGGUAAGUUGUCACACAUGCAGUGCUGCCUUACUAUUUAAGCAAACACAGUGUUGUUUGUUGUGGAGGAUGACCCAAAGGGUGAUCCACCUUGCCGUUAUAAAUUUCACCACCAUUCUUCAUUGCUACAAUCUGCAAGUACUACAAUCAACCCAAAAAAAUCCAAUAUGCACUUGCUGAAAGAGCUAAUGGAAAUAGGCUACUUGUAAUUUGUAUACAAGAGUGAGUUUCUGGAUUAUACACUACCUGUUUCUGUAGCAGUUGGUUUUCCUCUUUCAGCAUCUUUUCCUGUUGAGAGCAAAAGGCAUUCUUCAGAAAAAUUAAAGGUACGUAUUUAUGUUUUACCAAAUAAAUAAAUAAAAAAGAAAGAAAUCUGCUUCUGAUAUUACUUCAUUCAUGAUGAAUUGCAAACAAGCAUACAGCAGCACCUGAGCACACGGCACCAAAGAAAACAGCAGAAAGCAGGCAUGGUUUUUUUUUUCUCCCUAUUGUGGCCUGCGUUGUAUUAAUAAUUACUGGCUGUCCUCCUUUGUGACGUUUACUUUAGUAUAUUUCUUUCUUUUAUUCAAAUUAAUCCAUCAGUUUAGACC